Molecule: unclassified non-coding RNA, 313 nt
Filed under: Hevea brasiliensis (rubber tree)
Lineage: Eukaryota; Viridiplantae; Streptophyta; Magnoliopsida; Malpighiales; Euphorbiaceae
Source: RNAcentral
UAUAAAUUUCAAAUGUUGUAGAAACAGUAGAAUUACAAAAGCACUAAAAGAUACUUGAACGGUUUUUUUUUACUUUAAAGAACAUAGCCAAUAAAGGAAAGAGAUGGCCUUAUUUUCUAGCAGUUUCAGCAAAAUAGAAAGGGGAAGGUUUAGACAAGAACAUUCUGCUUCAUCAGAAGCCCUAUUCGCGACUAUGAUGUAGUAAUCGAAGGACAAAAAGUUCAAGGCUCCACAGUCAUGUUCUCUGCUUCUCGUCUGACAGUUUCGAAGAGCACAGAGGAAAGAUAUCGCUCCCCGAAGCUUGGGAAAACAA